RNAcentral lists this ribosomal RNA (637 nucleotides) under uncultured bacterium. RNAcentral describes it as "bacterial SSU rRNA". It matches the Rfam family "Bacterial small subunit ribosomal RNA", at positions 607 to 1244 of the family's 1533-position model. The record is from RNAcentral.
GCUCAACCGAGGAAGUGCUUCGAAAACUGGUAAACUUGAGUGCAGAAGAGGAAAGUGGAACUCCAUGUGUAGCGGUGGAAUGCGUAGAUAUAUGGAAGAACACCAGUGGCGAAGGCGGCUUUCUGGUCUGUAACUGACGCUGAGACUCGAAAGCAUGGGUAGCAAACAGGAUUAGAUACCCUGGUAGUCCAUGCCGUAAACGAUGAGUGCUAAGUGUUGGAGGGUUUCCGUCCUUCAGUGCUGCAGCUAACGCAUUAAGCACUCCGCCUGGGGAGUACGAUCGCAAGAUUGAAACUCAAAGGAAUUGACGGGGGCCCGCACAAGCGGUGGAGCAUGUGGUUUAAUUCGAAGCAACGCGAAGAACCUUACCAGGUCUUGACAUACCAUGAAAAGCUAAGAGAUUAGUCUUUCCCUUCGGGGACAUGGAUACAGGUGGUGCAUGGUUGUCGUCAGCUCGUGUCGUGAGAUGUUGGGUUAAGUCCCGCAACGAGCGCAACCCUUAUUAUCAGUUGCCAGCAUUCAGUUGGGCACUCUGGUGAGACUGCCGGUGACAAACCGGAGGAAGGUGUGGACGACGUCAAAUCAUCAUGCCCCUUAUGACCUGGGCUACACACGUGCUACAAUGGUCGGUACAACG